RNAcentral lists this ribosomal RNA (503 nucleotides) under uncultured bacterium. RNAcentral's name for it is "partial 16S ribosomal RNA". It matches the Rfam family "Bacterial small subunit ribosomal RNA", at positions 30 to 523 of the family's 1533-position model. The record is from RNAcentral.
AUUGAACGCUGGCGGCAGGCUUAACACAUGCAAGUCGAGCGGGGUGAUGGUGCUUGCACUAUCACUUAGCGGCGGACGGGUGAGUAAUGCUUAGGAAUCUGCCUAUUAGUGGGGGACAACAUCUCGAAAGGGAUGCUAAUACCGCAUACGUCCUACGGGAGAAAGCAGGGGAUCACUUGUGUCCUUGCGCUAAUAGAUGAGCCUAAGUCGGAUUAGCUAGUUGGUGGGGUAAAGGCCUACCAAGGCGACGAUCUGUAGCGGGUCUGAGAGGAUGAUCCGCCACACUGGGACUGAGACACGGCCCAGACUCCUACGGGAGGCAGCAGUGGGGAAUAUUGGACAAUGGGGGGAACCCUGAUCCAGCCAUGCCGCGUGUGUGAAGAAGGCCUUAUGGUUGUAAAGCACUUUAAGCGAGGAGGAGGCUCUUUUGGUUAAUACCCAAGAUGAGUGGACGUUACUCGCAGAAUGAGCACCGGCUAACUCUGUGCCAGCCGCCGCGGUAA